UACAGAGGGGGCAAGCGUUGUUCGGAAUUACUGGGCGUAAAGGGCGCGUAGGCGGCCUGUUAAGUCGAACGUGAAAUCCCCGGGCUCAACCCGGGAACUGCGUCCGAUACUGGCAGGCUUGAAUCCGGGAGAGGGAUGUGGAAUUCCAGGUGUAGCGGUGAAAUGCGUAGAUAUCUGGAGGAACACCGGUGGCGAAGGCGGCAUCCUGGACCGGUAUUGACGCUGGGGCGCGAAAGCCAGGGGAGCAAACGGG
RNAcentral lists this ribosomal RNA (253 nucleotides) under uncultured bacterium. RNAcentral's name for it is "partial 16S ribosomal RNA". It matches the Rfam family "Bacterial small subunit ribosomal RNA", at positions 524 to 776 of the family's 1533-position model. The record is from RNAcentral.